UCUCCGUAGGUGAACCUGCGGAGGGAUCAUUACUGAGUGGGGGCUCCGGCCCGACCUCCAACCCCAUGUGAACCGAAACCUGUUGCUUCGGGGGCGACCCUGCCGUUCGCGGCGCGGCGCCCCCGGUGGACCAUCAACGCUGCAUCUGUGCGUCUGAGUGAUUAAUCAAUCAAUUAAAACUUUCAACAACGGAUCUCUUGGUUCUGGCAUCGAUGAAGAACGCAGC
RNAcentral lists this unclassified non-coding RNA (226 nucleotides) under uncultured fungus. RNAcentral describes it as "sequence contains ITS1, 5.8S rRNA gene". The stretch from base 178 to 226 matches the Rfam family "5.8S ribosomal RNA", at positions 1 to 49 of the family's 154-position model. Lineage: Eukaryota; Fungi. The record is from RNAcentral.